Molecule: long non-coding RNA, 374 nt
Filed under: Gallus gallus (chicken)
Lineage: Eukaryota; Metazoa; Chordata; Aves; Galliformes; Phasianidae
Description: long non-coding RNA NONGGAT004576
Source: RNAcentral
CUAUUUGUGGGUUAGACUUGGACUUCGGCCACAUUUAAUAGCCCCUCCUGGAUCACUCCCCCCUUAGACAAGGUCAGCCUGAGCCUGCUUUGGGCAUACCCUGGGGAAGAUAUGGAUUCCUGCAAUGUUUUGGACUGUGAGUACAUCAGGAUGAAGAGUCUGUGUUGGUGUUUGUGGUGUACAGGCUUCUGAUUCAGCAGAUGAAGUGCUUGGUGACACGAAGGAACAAGCAGAUCUAUGAACAGUGGAAACAAUACAACAAGUUUUCCGACGUAUUUGUGCCACCUAGUAGUCUCCUUUAACAUCUAACAGCAUGAGUGGGGAAUCAAAUCUUCUGCCACUGCUGGGAUACUCACAGCAUCGCUCCACUGGGC